This 497-nucleotide ribosomal RNA is filed under the name uncultured bacterium. Its description in RNAcentral is "partial 16S ribosomal RNA". It matches the Rfam family "Bacterial small subunit ribosomal RNA", at positions 28 to 507 of the family's 1533-position model. The record is from RNAcentral.
GAUGAACGCUGGCGGCGUGCCUAAUACAUGCAAGUCGAGCGAACGGACGAGAAGCUUGCGUCUCUGAUGUUAGCGGCGGACGGGUGAGUAACACGUGGAUAACCUACCUAUAAGACUGGGAUAACUUCGGGAAACCGGAGCUAAUACCGGAUAAUAUUUUGAACCGCAUGGUUCAAAAGUGAAAGACGGUCUUGCUGUCACUUAUAGAUGGUUCCGCGCUGCAUUAGCUAGUUGGUAAGGUAACGGCUUACCAAGGCAACGAUGCAUAGCCGACCUGAGAGGGUGAUCGGCCACACUGGAACUGAGACACGGUCCAGACUCCUACGGGAGGCAGCAGUAGGGAAUAUUACGCAAUGGGCGAAAGCCUGACGGAGCCACGCCGCGUGAGUGAUGAAGGUCUUCGGAUCGUAAAACUCUGUUAUUAGGGAAGAACAUAUGUGUAAGUAAAUGUGCACAUCUUGACGGUACCUAAUCAGAAAGCCACGGCUAACUACGUG